Long non-coding RNA from Sinocyclocheilus anshuiensis, 424 nucleotides. RefSeq lists it as uncharacterized. The transcript is spliced from 3 exons. NCBI's taxonomy places the organism in Eukaryota, Metazoa, Chordata, Actinopteri, Cypriniformes, Cyprinidae. The record is from RefSeq and is a predicted model, not a curated record.
GUCGAAUCGGUUGCGUGGUGACGCAGGCGCAGCGUGGGGUUUCCCAGUCCUGAGAGCAGGGUCACCGGCCGCGCCCAUCUCCGCUGUCUGAUGGCCGGAGCCAGAGCCUGACAGAGCGAGCGCAGAAGAACCACUUCAGCGCCGGACAACGACGAGUGUGGGACGUACAAGGCCGAAUUUGGACCGAGCGUUGUGUUGACCACGUUUACCACAGGGCAUCUGCGUGAAGCUCGCGUCAUUUGGGCCAGAAUCAGCGCGGUUGCAGCUGUCGCGGCUGCGGGUUCGGGGAGUGCCGCUCUCCGCUGACUGACUGACGGACUGUCCGCAGGUCGGGCAGCUGUGGAUCUCUCCUCGCGGUUUACAGUAAAUGAUAGAUACACAACGAACUGUGCCGACAGAACACAGGUCAGUGCGAGCGCGAGUG